This 421-nucleotide ribosomal RNA is filed under the name uncultured bacterium. RNAcentral describes it as "bacterial SSU rRNA". It matches the Rfam family "Bacterial small subunit ribosomal RNA", at positions 355 to 773 of the family's 1533-position model. The record is from RNAcentral.
UAGGGAAUAUUGGGCAAUGGACGGAAGUCUGACCCAGCCAUUCCGCGUGCAGGAAGAAGGCGCUCAGCGUUGUAAACUGCUUUUAUCGGGGAAGAACGGCAGUCCUGCGGGAUUGUGUGACGGUACUCGAGGAAUAAGCACCGGCUAACUCCGUGCCAGCAGCCGCGGUAAUACGGAGGGUGCGAGCGUUGUCCGGAUGUAUUGGGUUUAAAGGGUGCGUAGGUGGUUGAGUAAGUCUGGUUUGAAAGUCAGUCGCUUAACUAUUGAGGGUAGCUGGAUACUGAUGAACUUGAAUGCCCUGAAGGUAGGUGAAACGGGUUGUGUAGCGGUGAAAUGCAUAGAUAUGACAUAGAACACCAAUGGCGAAGGCAGCUGGCUACGCAUAUAUUGACACUGAGGCACAAAAGCGUGGGGAUCAAAC